AGCCACGCAGUGAGCACAAAGCCAACUAUUCUUUCGCCUUUUACUAAAGAAUACCGUAUGUGCAUUGUAAUUAGUGGCAUACGCUUAUUUUUGAAGAAGUUACUCUUUAUUGAGUACU
Molecule: small nuclear RNA, 118 nt
Filed under: Solanum tuberosum (potato)
Lineage: Eukaryota; Viridiplantae; Streptophyta; Magnoliopsida; Solanales; Solanaceae
Description: snRNA U5
Rfam family: U5 spliceosomal RNA
About the family: U5 RNA is a component of both types of known spliceosome.
Source: Rfam by way of RNAcentral